Molecule: ribosomal RNA, 377 nt
Filed under: uncultured Candidatus Sumerlaeota bacterium
Lineage: Bacteria; Candidatus Sumerlaeota
Description: bacterial SSU rRNA
Rfam family: Bacterial small subunit ribosomal RNA
Source: RNAcentral
GAGAUGGAUGUGUCUCUUCGGAGACGGUAUGACAGGUGCUGCAUGGCUGUCGUCAGCUCGUGCCGGUGAGGUGUUGGGUUAAGUCCCGCAACGAGCGCAACCCCUAUCUUAGUUUGCCAUCAGUUCGGCUGGGCACUCUAUGGAGACUGCACCUAAAGUGGAGGAAGGUGGGGAUGACGUCAAGUCAGCAUGGCCCUUACUCCGGGGCUACACACGUGCUACAAUGGCCGGUACAAAGGGUUGCGAAGCCGUGAGGUGGAGCGAAUCUCAAAAAGCCGGCCUCAGUUCGGAUUGGAGGCUGCAACUCGCCUCCAUGAAGUCGGAAUCGCUAGUAACCGCAGAUCAGCUACGUUGCGGUGAAUAUGUUCCCGGGCCUU